RNAcentral lists this long non-coding RNA (319 nucleotides) under Drosophila guanche. Lineage: Eukaryota; Metazoa; Arthropoda; Insecta; Diptera; Drosophilidae. The record is from RNAcentral.
GACUGGACUUGUUCGUCGUGAACGGACGUUGCUGUUGCUCGAACUCGAACUCUGUUGAUAAGAGCGGCAAUCACUUUGUACAACUUACUCACACCCCCGCCCACAGCCAUGUGUGUUAGAAAGAGAGACAGAAGACCUCCGUCCGAUGAUUAAAUUCCAAUAGUAAAAUGAGCAACACAGAAAUUCCCCAUGAUAGAGAUGUCAAGCCACAAUAUUUAAGCCGCCAAGGAGAAACUUUCCAGCUCGAAUUUAUUUGUGUGGCUUCAACAUAACUCGGAAAAUAGCUCUGAUCUACUUAGUUCUAGUCCUAGUUCUAUAU